Molecule: ribosomal RNA, 520 nt
Filed under: uncultured Oceanicaulis sp.
Lineage: Bacteria; Pseudomonadati; Pseudomonadota; Alphaproteobacteria; Maricaulales; Maricaulaceae
Description: bacterial SSU rRNA
Rfam family: Bacterial small subunit ribosomal RNA
Source: RNAcentral
GCAAGUCGAGCGCCCACUUCGGUGGGAGCGGCAGACGGGUGAGUAACGCGUGGGAACGUGCCCUUCGGUACGGAAUAGCCCUGGGAAACUGGGUGUAAUACCGUAUACGACCUCCGGGUGAAAGAUUUAUCGCCGAAGGAUCGGCCCGCGUUAGAUUAGCUAGAUGGUGGGGUAAAGGCCUACCAUGGCGACGAUCUAUAGCUGGUUUGAGAGGACGACCAGCCACACUGGGACUGAGACACGGCCCANACUCCUACGGGAGGCAGCAGUGGGGAAUAUUGGACAAUGGGGGAAACCCUGAUCCAGCCAUGCCGCGUGGAUGAAGAAGGCCCUAGGGUUGUAAAAUCCUUUCGCUANGGAAGAUAAUGACGGUACCUAGUANAGAAGCCCCGGCUAAUUUCGUGCCAGCAGCCGCGGUAAUACGAAAGGGGCUAGCGUUGUUCGGAAUUACUGGGCGUAAAGCGCGCCGUANGCNGCAUGCCCAGUUAAAAGUGAAAUCCCGGAGCUCAACUCCCGGAAC